AUGGACUCUUUGUGUGCGCGUGUUCUCAGUGCAAAGUAUUACCCCGAUGGUAACAUUCUUAAUGUUGGCCCUAAGAAAGGCUCUUCUUAUACUUGGCAGAGUAUAGUAUCAGGAAUUCAAACAUUUAAGAGGGGGUUUAUUUGGAGAGUUGGGACAGGUUCUAAUAUCAAUAUUUGGCCGGACCCAUGGAUACCGUCAAGUGCCUCACGCAAAGUUAUAACGCCGAGGGGCAGAUUAUUGUCCAAAGUUGAAGAGCUCAUAGACCCGCACUCGAGCACAUGGGAUGAAUCCUUAUUGCAGUCCGUGUUUAAACCAGUCGAUAUGGAAAGGAUACUAAGGAUCCCUCUUAAUGUGAGUAUUGUUGACGAUUUUGUGGCAUGGCAGUUUACACGGUCAGGAACCUUCUCAGUCUGUUCAGCAUACCAUACAGAGUUCAAUCAUCAGUUUGGCUCGCGCACUUCUCCUGCUGAUGGACAAGGAGGGUCUGUAGUAAAUGGCAUUUGGAAACAUUCGUGAAAACUCCGAGUUCCUGGCAAGAUUAAGCAUUUCGCUUGGAAGGUGCUCAGGGGCGUUCUGCCAUGCUAUGGAGUCCUCGCGAAACGUCAUAUCCCGGUAUCUGGUCAAUGCCCGGUUUGCAAAGUUUGGUUUGAAGAUAUUCAGCAUUGCUUAUUCUUGUGUUGCCGUGCUAUGGAAGUGUGGAAAGAAUUAGGCCUGAAUGAGGUGAUCAACCAAGCAGAAAUGGAGGACCGCUCGGGAUCAGUUAUCAUGGAGAUUUUAUUGCGAAACCACUCAUCAAUUGGUGAUCUUCCAGCGGCUGAGUUGAUUACGGUGGCUGCGUGGUAUAUUUGGUGGCAACGUCGCCAGUUUGCAAAGGGGGAAACAAUUUCAGAUGCACACCAUUCAGCUAUUUCAAUUAAGGUCCUAGCGACGAACUAUGUACGAGCAGCAACACCCAACCAACCAGUUAGAAAGAGAGAUCAAAUGUGGAAGAAACCAACCAGGGGGAAGGUGAAUAUCAAUGUGGACGCCUCUUUUCACGAGGAUAUUCUCUCAGGGGCGACGGGUGCCAUUGCAAGGGAUGAUAGUGGCCAGUUCUUGGCUGCUGCAUCAUGGUUUCUUCCACAUACUAACAGUGCUGUUUCAGCAGAUAUUCUUGCUAUACGGAAUGGUUUAUACUUAGCUGCCCAUAUUGGUGCUCCAAGGUGA
RNAcentral lists this ribosomal RNA (1206 nucleotides) under Triticum aestivum (bread wheat). RNAcentral describes it as "partial small subunit ribosomal RNA". Lineage: Eukaryota; Viridiplantae; Streptophyta; Magnoliopsida; Poales; Poaceae. The record is from RNAcentral.